GACGAACGCUGGCGGCGUGCCUAAUACAUGCAAGUAGAACGCUGAAGCGAGGAGCUUCCUCUUCUUGGAUGAGUUGCGAACGGGUGAGUAACGCGUAGGUAACCUGCCUUGUAGCGGGGGAUAACUAUUGGAAACGAUAGCUAAUACCGCAUAACAAUGGAUGACACAUGUCAUUUAUUUGAAAGGGGCAAUUGCUCCACUACAAGAUGGACCUGCGUUGUAUUAGCUAGUAGGUGAGGUAAUGGCUCACCUAGGCGACGAUACAUAGCCGACCUGAGAGGGUGAUCGGCCACACUGGGACUGAGACACGGCCCAGACUCCUACGGGAGGCAGCAGUAGGGAAUCUUCGGCAAUGGGGGCAACCCUGACCGAGCAACGCCGCGUGAGUGAAGAAGGUUUUCGGAUCGUAAAGCUCUGUUGUAAGUCAAGAACGGGGGUGAGAGUGGAAAGUUCACACUGUGACGGUAGCUUACCAGGAAGGGACGGCUAACUACGUG
Molecule: ribosomal RNA, 497 nt
Filed under: uncultured bacterium
Lineage: Bacteria
Description: partial 16S ribosomal RNA
Rfam family: Bacterial small subunit ribosomal RNA
Source: RNAcentral